This 477-nucleotide ribosomal RNA is filed under the name uncultured bacterium. RNAcentral's name for it is "partial 16S ribosomal RNA". It matches the Rfam family "Bacterial small subunit ribosomal RNA", at positions 28 to 507 of the family's 1533-position model. The record is from RNAcentral.
GAUUAACGCUGGCGGCGUGCAUAAAACAUGACAGUCGAACGAUGAAACUUAACGAAUUUCUUCGGAAUGAUUUUAGUGGGAUUAUUGGGGGACGGGGGAUUAACGCGUGGGAAACCUGCCUUGGGGAAGGGAAUAGCCUUGGGAAACGAAGAAUAAUACCCAAUAAUAUGAUAAUAUCUAAUGAUAUUAUCAUCAAAGAUUUAUCGCUCUAAGAUGGACUUGCGUCUGAUUAGUUAGUUGGUGAGGUAACAGCUCACCAAGGCAGCGAUCAGUAGCCGGCUUGAGAGAGUGUACGGCCACAUUGGGACUGAGACACGGCCCAGACUCCUACGGGAGGCAGCAGUGGGGAAUUUUGCACAAUGGGGGAAACCCUGAUGCAGCGACGCCGCGUGAUUUAGAAGGCCUUCGGGUUGUAAAAAUCUUUUGUAUGGGAAGAAAAUGACAGUACCAUACGAAUAAGGACCGGCUAAUUACGUG